AUGGGCCACCGGAGGCGCCCACGCCCUCGGUCGUUGGUCUUCGGCCUACACGGCACUCGUCGACUCUCCACAAGAUCUCAUCGUAGUUCUAUACUCCGUGGCUGCACAAAACCGCGUGAACUCGACGAUUUGGACAGAAACGGCGAUUUGGAAAAUGAAGUCGUGAACCUGGGAUCAUGGAUAGGUACUGGUGACAAUUGUUGCUUUCGCAGCUUAUAUUACAUUUGGCCAUCGUGCGCCAUUAUUAUUCAGAGGAAAAGGGAACUUGAUGAGGACGUACCGGACCACACACUCGUUGCUGCAGCCACUAUAAAUAUUAUCGGGCACAAUUAUUAUUCAAUUCGUAUUACUAGCACCAGGAGCUGCAGCUUAAUUAAUUGUUCAUUCGCUCCAGCAAUUCAGCAGCCACAAUGGCAUCCGCCGCUAGCUCCAACAACACCGCCACGCCCGACCUCGACCUGGAAGCGCAAGUGCCCACGGUGA
RNAcentral lists this ribosomal RNA (483 nucleotides) under Triticum aestivum (bread wheat). RNAcentral describes it as "partial small subunit ribosomal RNA". The record is from RNAcentral. Lineage: Eukaryota; Viridiplantae; Streptophyta; Magnoliopsida; Poales; Poaceae.